Molecule: unclassified non-coding RNA, 240 nt
Filed under: soil metagenome
Description: partial contains 5.8S ribosomal RNA, internal transcribed spacer 2, and large subunit ribosomal RNA
Source: RNAcentral
AACAAGGCGUACCUGCGGACCUGCGGAGGGAUCAUUACCAAAAAACAAGCUCUUUGCUUGGGGUCUCCCCUAGCAAGGUUCUAAACCCUUUGUGAACCAAAAAACCUUUACUGCUUCGGUAGCUGGUUGUUAAAACCGUAAGCCUGCCGGUGGCAACAAACUUAAACUCUUUGCACUUAACUUAAUUGUCGACCCAUAUUUUUUGAAUAAAAUCAAAACUUUCAACAACGGAUCUCAGAU